Molecule: transfer RNA, 72 nt
Filed under: Tremella fuciformis
Lineage: Eukaryota; Fungi; Basidiomycota; Tremellomycetes; Tremellales; Tremellaceae
Description: tRNA-Ala
Source: RNAcentral
GGGGAAAUCAUAUAAGGGCUAGUAUCUCGUGUUUGCAUCACGAGCGUUAGGGUUCGAGUCCCUAUUACUCCA